This 491-nucleotide ribosomal RNA is filed under the name uncultured bacterium. RNAcentral's name for it is "partial 16S ribosomal RNA". It matches the Rfam family "Bacterial small subunit ribosomal RNA", at positions 29 to 507 of the family's 1533-position model. The record is from RNAcentral.
GUGAACGCUGGCGGUAGGCCUCACACCUACAAGUCGAACGGCAGCACAGUAAGAGCUUGCUCUUACGGGUGGCGAGUGGCGGACGGGUGAGGAAUACAUCGGAAUCUACUUUUUCGUGGGGGAUAACGUAGGGAAACUUACGCUAAUACCGCAUACGACCUACGGGUGAAAGCAGGGGAUCUUCGGACCUUGCGCGAUUGAAUGAGCCGAUGUCGGAUUAGCUAGUUGGCGGGGUAAAGGCCCACCAAGGCGACGAUCCGUAGCUGGUCUGAGAGGAUGAUCAGCCACACUGGAACUGAGACACGGUCCAGACUCCUACGGGAGGCAGCAGUGGGGAAUAUUGGACAAUGGGCGCAAGCCUGAUCCAGCCAUACCGCGUGGGUGAAGAAGGCCUUCGGGUUGUAAAGCCCUUUUGUUGGGAAAGAAAAGCAGCAGGUUAAUACCCCGCUGUUCUGACGGUACCCAAAGAAUAAGCACCGGCUAACUUCGUG